Molecule: ribosomal RNA, 497 nt
Filed under: uncultured bacterium
Lineage: Bacteria
Description: partial 16S ribosomal RNA
Rfam family: Bacterial small subunit ribosomal RNA
Source: RNAcentral
GAUGAACGCUGGCGGCGUGCCUAAUACAUGCAAGUCGAGCGAACGGACGAGAAGCUUGCGUCUCUGAUGUUAGCGGCGGACGGGUGAGUAACACGUGGAUAACCUACCUAUAAGACUGGGAUAACUUCGGGAAACCGGAGCUAAUACCGGAUAAUAUUUUGAACCGCAUGGUUCAAAAGUGAAAGACGGUCUUGCUGUCACUUAUAGAUGGAUCCGCGCUGCAUUAGCUAGUUGGUAAGGUAACGGCUUACCAAGGCAACGAUGCAUAGCCGACCUGAGAGGGUGAUCGGCCACACUGGAACUGAGACACGGUCCAGACUCCUACGGGAGGCAGCAGUAGGGAAUCUUCCGCAAAGGGCGAAAGCCUGACGGAGCAACGCCGCGUGAGUGAUGAAGGUCUUCGGAUCGUAAAACUCUGUUAUUAGGGAAGAACAUAUGUGUAAGUAACUGUGCACAUCUUGACGGUACCUAAUCAGAAAGCCACGGCUAACUACGUG